GGCUGAUUCCGGUUAAAUCAAUAGACGGAACUAAGCAUGUAGAUCCUCUGGCGGAGUGCUGACGGACGCGGGUUCAAAUCCCGCCGGCUCCACCA
This 95-nucleotide transfer RNA is filed under the name Pseudoteredinibacter isoporae. RNAcentral describes it as "tRNA-OTHER". It matches the Rfam family "transfer-messenger RNA", at positions 276 to 374 of the family's 374-position model. Rfam says of the family: Bacterial tmRNA, also known as 10Sa RNA or SsrA, is named for its dual tRNA and mRNA-like properties. Its role is to liberate the mRNA from a stalled ribosome. To accomplish this part of the tmRNA is used as a reading frame that ends in a translation stop signal. Lineage: Bacteria; Pseudomonadati; Pseudomonadota; Gammaproteobacteria; Cellvibrionales; Cellvibrionaceae. The record is from RNAcentral.